This 53-nucleotide ribosomal RNA is filed under the name Trebouxia suecica. RNAcentral's name for it is "partial large subunit ribosomal RNA". Lineage: Eukaryota; Viridiplantae; Chlorophyta; Trebouxiophyceae; Trebouxiales; Trebouxiaceae. RNAcentral also lists the same sequence under 1 other name. The record is from RNAcentral.
UUUCGACCUGAGGUCAGGCAAGAACACCCGCUGAACUUAAGCAUAUCAAUAAG